AUACGAAGGGGGCUAGCGUUGUUCGGAAUUACUGGGCGUAAAGCGCGCGUAGGCGGACUGAUCAGUUGGGGGUGAAAUCCCAGGGCUUAACCCUGGAACUGCCUCCAAUACUGUCAGUCUUGAGUUCGGGAGAGGUGAGUGGAAUUCCUAGUGUAGAGGUGAAAUUCGUAGAUAUUAGGAAGAACACCAGUGGCGAAGGCGGCUCACUGGCUCGGUACUGACGCUGAGGUGCGAAAGCGUGGGGAGCAAACAGGAUUAGAAACCCUAGUAGUCC
RNAcentral lists this ribosomal RNA (274 nucleotides) under uncultured bacterium. Its description in RNAcentral is "partial 16S ribosomal RNA". It matches the Rfam family "Bacterial small subunit ribosomal RNA", at positions 523 to 796 of the family's 1533-position model. The record is from RNAcentral.